GAUGAACGCUGGCGGCGUGCCUAAUACAUGCAAGUCGAGCGAACAGACGAGGAGCUUGCUCCUCUGACGUUAGCGGCGGACGGGUGAGUAACACGUGGAUAACCUACCUAUAAGACUGGGAUAACUUCGGGAAACCGGAGCUAAUACCGGAUAAUAUAUUGAACCGCAUGGUUCAAUAGUGAAAGACAGUUUUGCUGUCACUUAUAGAUGGAUCCGCGCCGCAUUAGCUAGUUGGUAAGGUAACGGCUUACCAAGGCAACGAUGCGUAGCCGACCUGAGAGGGUGAUCGGCCACACUGGAACUGAGACACGGUCCAGACUCCUACGGGAGGCAGCAGUAGGGAAUCUUCCGCAAUGGGCGAAAGCCUGACGGAGCAACGCCGCGUGAGUGAUGAAGGUCUUCGGAUCGUAAAACUCUGUUAUUAGGGAAGAACAAAUGUGUAAGUAACUAUGCACGUCUUGACGGUACCUAAUCAGAAAGCCACGCCUAACUACGUG
This 497-nucleotide ribosomal RNA is filed under the name uncultured bacterium. RNAcentral's name for it is "partial 16S ribosomal RNA". It matches the Rfam family "Bacterial small subunit ribosomal RNA", at positions 28 to 507 of the family's 1533-position model. The record is from RNAcentral.